AGUGAACGCUGGCGGUAGGCCUAACACAUGCGAGUCGAACGGCAGCACAGUAGGAGCUUGCUCUUACGGGUGGCGAGUGGCGGACGGGUGAGGAAUACAUCGGAAUCUACUUUUUCGUGGGGGAUAACGUAGGGAAACUUACGCUAAUACCGCAUACGACCUACGGGUGAAAGCAGGGGAUCUUCGGACCUUGCGCGAUUGAAUGAGCCGAUGUCGGAUUAGCUAGUUGGCGGGGUAAAGGCCCACCAAGGCGACGAUCCGUAGCUGGUCUGAGAGGAUGAUCAGCCACACUGGAACUGAGCCACGGUCCAGACUCCUACGGGAGGCAGCAGUGGGGAAUAUUGGACAAUGGGCGCAAGCCUGAUCCAGCCAUACCGCGUGGGUGAAGAAGGCCUUCGGGUUGUAAAGCCCUUUUGUUGGGAAAGAAAAGCAGCAGGUUAAUACCCCGCUGUUCUGACGGUACCCAAAGAAUAAGCACCGGCUAACUUCGUG
Molecule: ribosomal RNA, 492 nt
Filed under: uncultured bacterium
Lineage: Bacteria
Description: partial 16S ribosomal RNA
Rfam family: Bacterial small subunit ribosomal RNA
Source: RNAcentral